GCUUGGCUGGCUCAGUCAUGGGGCAAGUGGCUUUUGAUCUUAGGGAUAUGGGUUUGAGUCCCAUGUUGAGUA
RNAcentral lists this transfer RNA (72 nucleotides) under Mustela putorius furo (domestic ferret). It matches the Rfam family "tRNA". Rfam says of the family: Transfer RNA (tRNA) molecules are approximately 80 nucleotides in length. Lineage: Eukaryota; Metazoa; Chordata; Mammalia; Carnivora; Mustelidae. The record is from Rfam by way of RNAcentral.